AAAGUUACAACAUGAUCCAAUGGCUGGAAGUAGAAGCUCGACAAAUUCAGACCGGAAAUAAGUUGCACAUUUUUAACAGUGAGAGUCAUUAACCAUUGGAACAAUUUGCCAACGAUUGUGGU
This is a long non-coding RNA of Gopherus evgoodei (Goodes thornscrub tortoise), 122 nucleotides long. RefSeq lists it as uncharacterized. The record is from RefSeq and is a predicted model, not a curated record. The transcript has 4 exons. NCBI's taxonomy places the organism in Eukaryota, Metazoa, Chordata, Testudines, Testudinidae.